Molecule: non-coding RNA, 78 nt
Organism: Stegodyphus mimosarum
Lineage: Eukaryota; Metazoa; Arthropoda; Arachnida; Araneae; Eresidae
Source: Rfam
AGCCCAUGAUGUGUUGAUUUGCUACUCUUGAUUUAGAUGUGAUGAAAAUUAUUACCACCACAAAAUGUUUCUGAGGCU